CGCGGCUGCCAUCUUGUAUUAUUUAUUCGGUGAAAGUGAUUAUAAUAAGACAAUUAGCUUUUGUUUUUACGGUAAUUAAGUGCGAAAAUGUGCGAUCAUGGAAACAUAGGCACCAAUUUGACGACGGUCGUGUUCCAAGUUACAUAAGGUAUUUGAAGAAAGCAAUAUCUCACCGUCAUCAAAUCACAUAUUUUAUUGUAUUUUGAAGCAGUCGAUGUCUUGAUCUUCCUGUAAACCGGUAA
Long non-coding RNA from Agrilus planipennis (emerald ash borer), 242 nucleotides. RefSeq lists it as uncharacterized. The transcript has 3 exons. The record is from RefSeq and is a predicted model, not a curated record. Lineage: Eukaryota; Metazoa; Arthropoda; Insecta; Coleoptera; Buprestidae.